CGUAGGGUGCGAGCGUUGUCCGGAAUUACUGGGCGUAAAGAGCUCGUAGGCGGUUUGUCGCGUCGUCUGUGAAAACCAGCAGCUCAACUGCUGGCUUGCAGGCGAUACGGGCAGACUUGAGUACUGCAGGGGAGACUGGAAUUCCUGGUGUAGCGGUGAAAUGCGCAGAUAUCAGGAGGAACACCGGUGGCGAAGGCGGGUCUCUGGGCAGUAACUGACGCUGAGGAGCGAAAGCGUGGGUAGCGAACAGG
This 251-nucleotide ribosomal RNA is filed under the name uncultured Rhodococcus sp. Its description in RNAcentral is "partial 16S ribosomal RNA". It matches the Rfam family "Bacterial small subunit ribosomal RNA", at positions 526 to 776 of the family's 1533-position model. Lineage: Bacteria; Bacillati; Actinomycetota; Actinomycetes; Mycobacteriales; Nocardiaceae. The record is from RNAcentral.